AUGAACAAUAAUAGAGCUCCUGGUCCUGAUAAUAUACCAGCAGAGUUUUAUCAGCACUUUUGGGACAUUAUGAAAAAAUAUAUUAUGAGGCUCUUUACUGCUUUAUAUGAAGGAACUCUUGAUGUGCAUAGGCUGAACUAUGGGAUUAUUACGCUACUCCCUAAGAUCAAUGGUGCGAACAAAAUUCAACAGUUUAGGCCUAUUUGUUUGCUUAGAUGUCCAUAUAAGUUGAUUACAAAGGUGUUAGACAAUAGAGUGACCUUAUAUGCUGACAUUUUGUUUAGCAAACAUCAAAAUGCUUUUAUCAAACAUAGGAAUAUCAUGGAUGGGGUGUUGACCUUACAUGAGAUUUUACACCAUACUCAUGUUAAGAAGAAGGUUGGCAUCGUUAUCAAACUCGAUUUCGGAAAGGCCUAUGACAAGGUUAACUGGGACUUCCUGUUAAAAUGCCUUGAGAUUAGAGGGUUUGGAAAAACUUGGUGUAGCUGGAUGAAAAAGAUUAUUCAAAAUGGCAUUGUGAGUGUGAAAUUAAACAACACUUCGGGGCCUUACUUUCAGAGUUACAAAGGGGUUAGGCAGGGGGACACAGUGUCUUGA
This 597-nucleotide ribosomal RNA is filed under the name Triticum aestivum (bread wheat). Its description in RNAcentral is "partial small subunit ribosomal RNA". Lineage: Eukaryota; Viridiplantae; Streptophyta; Magnoliopsida; Poales; Poaceae. The record is from RNAcentral.